GAUGAACGCUGACAGAAUGCUUAACACAUGCCAGUCCACUUGAAUUUGGGUUUUUAACUUAGGUUUGGGUGGCGGACGGGUGAGUAACGCGUAAAGAACUUGCCUCACAGCUAGGGACAACAUUUGGAAACGAAUGCUAAUACCUAAUAUUAUGAUAAUAGGGCAUCCUAUAAUUAUGAAAGCUAUAAGCGCUGUGAGAGAGCUUUGCGUCCCAUUAGCUAGUUGGAGAGGUAACGGCUCACCAAGGCGAUGAUGGGUAGCCGGCCUGAGAGGGUGAUCGGCCAUAAGGGGACUGAGACACGGCCCUUACUCCUACGGGAGGCAGCAGUGGGGAAUAUUGGACAAUGGACCGAGAGUCUGAUCCAGCAAUUCUGUGUGCACGAUGAAGUUUUUCGGAAUGUAAAGUGCUUUCAGUUGGGAAGAAACAAAUGACGGUACCAACAGAAGAAGUGACGGCUAAAUACGUG
RNAcentral lists this ribosomal RNA (467 nucleotides) under uncultured bacterium. Its description in RNAcentral is "partial 16S ribosomal RNA". It matches the Rfam family "Bacterial small subunit ribosomal RNA", at positions 28 to 507 of the family's 1533-position model. The record is from RNAcentral.